This 269-nucleotide long non-coding RNA is filed under the name Fukomys damarensis (Damara mole-rat). Its description in RNAcentral is "lncRNA (ENSFDAG00000025206.1)". The record is from RNAcentral. Lineage: Eukaryota; Metazoa; Chordata; Mammalia; Rodentia; Bathyergidae.
AGAUUUUUCAAUCCACUACGGAAGGAAAUCAGCUAAAAGCCAAACAAUCUGAUGUGUUUGUGGAGCAAUCCCAGCACAUUGGAACCAUCCACUUGUGCACAAACAUAAGCCCCUAUUUUCCUGGACAAAGGCAGAAGAUAAGAACAUUGGCAUUGCUGGAGUUUUUGUAUGCCUUGGGUCAUUUGACAGACUGGAAACAUGAGGAACAUUAGAAAAUAAGAAAAUAAUAUAAAAUUAGAAAAUAACAGCAGUUUUCCUUCUACCAUGCC